This 73-nucleotide transfer RNA is filed under the name Bacteriophage sp. Its description in RNAcentral is "tRNA-Met". It matches the Rfam family "tRNA". From Rfam's summary of the family: Transfer RNA (tRNA) molecules are approximately 80 nucleotides in length. Their secondary structure includes four short double-helical elements and three loops (D, anti-codon, and T loops). Further hydrogen bonds mediate the characteristic L-shaped molecular structure. tRNAs have two regions of fundamental functional importance: the anti-codon, which is responsible for specific mRNA codon recognition, and the 3' end, to which the tRNAs corresponding amino acid is attached (by aminoacyl-tRNA synthetases). tRNAs cope with the degeneracy of the genetic code in two manners: having more than one tRNA (with a specific anti-codon) for a particular amino acid; and 'wobble' base-pairing, i.e. permitting non-standard base-pairing at the 3rd anti-codon position. The record is from RNAcentral.
GGGAGGGUAGCUCAGCGGUAAGAGCAGGCGACUCAUAAUCGCUUGGUCACGGGUUCGAAUCCCGUCCCUCCCA